GACGAACGCUGGCGGCGUGCCUAAUACAUGCAAGUAGAACGCACAGUUUAUACCGUAGCUUGCUACACCAUAGACUGUGAGUUGCGAACGGGUGAGUAACGCGUAGGUAACCUGCCUGGUAGCGGGGGAUAACUAUUGGAAACGCUAGCUAAUACCGCAUAAUAUUGAUUAUUGCAUGAUAAUUGAUUGAAAGAUGCUAUUGCAUCACUACCAGUUGGACCUGCGUUGUAUUAGCUAGUAGGUGAGGUAACGGCUCACCUAGGCGACGAUACAUAGCCGAACGGAGAGGGUGAUCGGCCACACUGGGACUGAGACACGGCACAGACUGCUACGGGAGGGAGCAGUAGGGAAUCUUGGGCAAUGGACGAAAGUCUGACCGAGCAACGCCGCGUGAGUGAAGAAGGAUGUCGGAUCGUAAAGCUCUGUUGUAAGGGAAGAACGGGUGUGAGAGUGGAAAGUUCACACUGUGACGGUAUCUUACCAGAAAGGGACGGCUAACUACGUG
This 505-nucleotide ribosomal RNA is filed under the name uncultured bacterium. Its description in RNAcentral is "partial 16S ribosomal RNA". It matches the Rfam family "Bacterial small subunit ribosomal RNA", at positions 28 to 507 of the family's 1533-position model. The record is from RNAcentral.